Molecule: ribosomal RNA, 490 nt
Filed under: uncultured bacterium
Lineage: Bacteria
Description: partial 16S ribosomal RNA
Rfam family: Bacterial small subunit ribosomal RNA
Source: RNAcentral
AUGGAACGCUGGCGGCAGGCCUAACACAUGCAAGUCGAACGGUAACAGGAAGACGCUUGCUUCUUUGCUUACGAGUGGCGGACGGGUGAGUAAUGUCUGUGAAACUGCCUGAUGGAGUGGGAUAACUACUGGAAACGGUAGCUAAUACCGCAUAACUUCGCAAGCCCAAAGAGGGGGACCUUCGGGCCUCUUGCCAUCGGCUGUGCCCAGAUGGGAUUAGCUAGUAGGUGGGGUAACGGCUCACCUAGGCGACGCUCCCUAGCUGGUCUGAGAGGAUGACUGGCCACACUGGAACUGAGACACGGUCCAGACUCCUACGGGAGGCAGCAGUGGGGAAUAUUGCACACUGGGCGGAAACAUGAUGCAGCCAUGCCGCGUGUAUGAAGAAGGACUUAGGGUUGUAAAGUACUUUCAGCGGGGAGGAAGGGAGUAAAGUUAAUACCUUUGCUCAUUGACGUUACCCGCAGAAGAAGCACCGGCUAACUCCGUG